GAAACUUUAAACGGCCGCGGUAUCCUAACCGUGCAAAGGUAGCGUAAUCACUUGUCUUUUAAAUAAAGACUAGUAUGAAAGGCCAAAUGAGAACGGACCUGUCUCCUAUAGCUAACCAGUUAAACUGAUCUUCAAGUACAAAAGCUUGAAUAGACACAUAAGACGAGAAGACCCUGUGGAGCUUAAAACUAACACUAUAAAAAACCACAAAUAGCAUAAGUUUUAAGUUGGGGCGACUUCGGAACAAAAUAAAACUUCCGAGCACAGAGCCAUAACCGCUCUCACUUAGACGAACAUGUCAAAGUAAAACAUCCGACCCAGUCCUACUGAAUAACGAACCAAGUUACCCCAGGGAUAACAGCGCCAUCUUCUUCAAGAGGCCAUAUCGACAAGAAGGUUUACGACCUCGAUGUUGGAUCAGGACACCCAAACGGUGCAACAGCUGUUAAAGGUUCGUUUGUUCAACGAUCAACAGUCCUACGUGAUCUGAGUUC
RNAcentral lists this ribosomal RNA (494 nucleotides) under Lampropholis delicata. Its description in RNAcentral is "partial 16S ribosomal RNA". It matches the Rfam family "Bacterial large subunit ribosomal RNA", at positions 1914 to 2612 of the family's 2925-position model. The record is from RNAcentral. Lineage: Eukaryota; Metazoa; Chordata; Lepidosauria; Squamata; Scincidae.